CCAGACUCCUACGGGAGGCAGCAGUGGGGAAUAUUGCACAAUGGGGGGAACCCUGAUGCAGCGACGCCGCGUGGGUGAAGGAGCACCUCGGUGCGUAAAGCCCUAUCGGCAGGGAAGAAAAGCGAACAGGUUCGCCUGGACGGUACCUGACUAAGAAGCCCCGGCUAACUACGUGCCAGCAGCCGCGGGAAUACGUAGGGGGCAAGCGUUAUCCGGAUUUACUGGGUGUAAAGGGAGCGUAGACGGCAAGGCAAGUCUGGAGUGAAAGCCCGUGGCCCAACCACGGGACUGCUUUGGAAACUGUGUUGCUGGAGUGCAGGAGGGGUAAGCGGAAUUCCUGGUGUAGCGGUGAAAUGCGUAGAUAUCAGGAGGAACACCGGUGGCGAAGGCGGCCUGCUGGACUGCAACUGACGUUGAGGCCCGAAAGCGUGGGGAGCAAACAGGAUUAGAUACCCGUGUAC
This 461-nucleotide ribosomal RNA is filed under the name uncultured bacterium. RNAcentral's name for it is "bacterial SSU rRNA". It matches the Rfam family "Bacterial small subunit ribosomal RNA", at positions 331 to 793 of the family's 1533-position model. The record is from RNAcentral.